This 486-nucleotide ribosomal RNA is filed under the name uncultured bacterium. Its description in RNAcentral is "partial 16S ribosomal RNA". It matches the Rfam family "Bacterial small subunit ribosomal RNA", at positions 30 to 507 of the family's 1533-position model. The record is from RNAcentral.
AUUGAACGCUGGCGGCAUGCCUUACACAUGCAAGUCGAACGGCAGCACGGGUGCUUGCACCUGGUGGCGAGUGGCGAACGGGUGAGUAAUACAUCGGAACAUGUCCUGUAGUGGGGGAUAGCCCGGUGAAAGCCGGAUUAAUACCGCAUACGAUCUACGGAUGAAAGCGGGGGACCUUCGGGCCUCGCGCUAUAGGGUUGGCCGAUGGCUGAUUAGCUAGUUGGUGGGGUAAAGGCCUACCAAGGCGACGAUCAGUAGCUGGUCUGAGAGGACGACCAGCCACACUGGGACUGAGACACGGCCCAGACUCCUACGGGAGGCAGCAGUGGGGAAUUUUGGACAAUGGGCGAAAGCCUGAUCCAGCAAUGCCGCGUGUGUGAAGAAGGCCUUCGGGUUGUAAAGCACUUUUGUCCGGAAAGAAAUCCUUGGCCCUAAUACGGUCGGGGGACGACGGUACCGGAAGAAUAAGCACCGGCUAACUACGUG